GGGAGGGGAAGUCAGGUGGUGGAGGGAGGAGAAGUAUUUGUUGACAUGUGAUAAGAAAUAUGUAACGAAAGAGCUAUAGAGAGGCAUACACUUUUUGUUGAAGGUUGAUAAUGUCUAACAAAGCUGGAAGCAAUGCUCCCACUUAAGAACAUGUUCCUUUUUACCAUUGCUAUGACAAUUAUAGUGUUAUAUUUUGUAUGGAGCUCUCAAGGCAAGGAGUUUGGGAGACAUUAUGAUCAUCGAGAACAUGUAUUCCUGUGCCACAUGUCAUUUGAGGACAGCAGGAAUAAAAAUGUGGAUAACAUACCCACAAUUUAUUUUAUUACACCCACAUAUCCAAGGAGGGAGCAAGCAGCAGAACUUACAAGGUUAGGGCAAACAUUGAUGCAUAUACCUAACCUGCAUUGGAUUGUUGCUGAUGAUAACAUGGUUUGCAGUGCAAUGAUAACAAAACUCUUGAAAAAAUUUGGUAUUCCUUUCACCCACAUUGCAAGCCCAAUGCCAGAGGUGUAUCGCAAAGCAGAUAUUGUUCCAAGAGGUGUAGCCAAUAGACGAGCUGCACUCGGCUGGAUAAGAAAGCAUGUGAAGAAUGGUGUGAUAUAUUUUGGAGAUGAUGAUAAUACAUUUGAUUUAGAGCUCUUUGAAGAAAUUCGUGGUACGAAGCGAGUUUCAAUGUUCCCAGUUGGUCUCAUUGGUGACUAUGCAGUUAGUUCUCCUGUGUUAAGAAAGGGAAGAGUUAUAGGAUUUUUUGAUUCAUGGCCAUCCAAGAGAAAGUUUCCAGUAGACAUGGCUGGAUUUGCUGUGAAUGUUGAGUUUUUAUUGGAACAUCCAAAUGCAACCAUGCCAUACAAAGCUGGAUAUGAAGAGGACCACUUUCUUCGAAGUCUUCACUUAAAAUUGGAGGAUAUCGAACCAAAAGGAAACUCGUGCACUCAGAAAAUGGGCAUACUUCUGACUUUUUGUAUGCUGCUGGGUUCUUGUGUGGCAUACACAGACUACGAAGAAAUCCCGAUCUGUGAUAAAAAUUGGAAGCUAUCUUGAUACAAACUUGAAACUACUACUAGAGGAACUUCGUUAUCUUGGAAUGGGUGAUGUUAGUUCAACAAAAGGGGCAGCAGCCUACUUAACAAAGGAUGGGCACACACAGACGAUAUAACCAUUCCUAAUGUGUUUGCUAACUUUUGACACAUUAUCUGCACAAAGUUAUGACUGCAAUAACACUCUGUUGCAGUCUUAUAUCAUAAAUAGUGGCUCAAUCUAGAACUUGUCAUUUAAUGUAGUGGUAGACAAUAUUUAUGAUUAAAUAGGAUGACAUUCUCAUCGAUUGAAGUGUGGUACUGAAUUUGUACAAAUAUUAUUUAUUAAAAAGAAGUAGAUUUAUUCCAGUUUAGAUAUUUGAAAUGGGUGAUAAAUUAAGUAAUGAUAAGAUUUUUGAGAAUUCAGAAUAUUUCAUAUAUCUGAUUUUGAUCGUUUUUCUAGUCAUACAUUUCAGCGGCAAGGAGUUCUGAUAAAGAUAUUGUUCAUUGGUAGUCAUGCUUUUGCUGAGGGAUCUACCGACCUAUUUCAUAAGAAAAUAUAGUGAUUAACUAUAGCUGCAAUAUUAAACUUCACAAAGACAUUUGAGAUUAUAUAUUUUAAGUAGACUGUUAAGUUAAUUUAGCUUUUGGUGCAACUUUUAUCUUUCAUAGGCAUUUGGGGUAAAAAAGAAAUAUAUUUCUGUGUGAGUCAAUUCAUACAACAUUUGCAGUGGGAUGAUAAACAUAGAAAUCAGAAUUAAAGGAGUUAACACGGAGUUUACAUCUUUCCUUGUAUUGCAUAAAUAUUAAGUUUAAUAGUUCCACACAAGAACAUAGAACAAAACGUUGGCAACAAUAUCAGACAUCAUACCAGGAUUUAUUAUAACUGUCUAAGGAGAAACACAGUAUUUUUCAAUCAGGUAUGGAAUAUCAACUAAAACAAUAGUAUUUUCUCUUUAAACAUUGUGUGAAAACAUGUCUCUGUUUGCAGUGCCUCACAAGUUCCUGCAUCUACUUAAUGAUUGUAUGAUUAAAGCACAGUCAGGAUUUCUAUGUCCUUACACCAUUAAAUUAGGAUUAAACUAUUUAUUUAUAUGUACAUUUAGUUUUAUAGCUCUUAUUAUUGAAGCUUUAAUACUGUUUGCAAUACAGUUGGUUAUUGAUACACCCAGGACUUGGGAUUUGAAAGAGAUAACUACUUCACUUAGCUUUCAGAAAAAGCAUUUAGUCUUCAUUUUGAGGUUUGAAAAUAGGGUCUGAUUACCAUUCUGCAAGAAUUAAGAAACACAGAUUUGUAUUGUGUAUAAAUAACGUAAUUUAAUAUCCUGACAAAGACAAGGUAAAACUUGUGUGGGAUGAUGUCUUAAUGGUAGGAAAACAAAACUAUAUUUCUAUGUUGAAUGCAAUAUCGUAUGUUGGUUGUGUUGAGAUGUAAGAUUUAAAACAAAAUUGUCAAUAAGCACAAGAUUAAUACCUCUUACUGCUAAAUUACUUUAUCAGACGUUGGUACAGUACGAGCAUUGUAAUCGGCAGGGGAUGUUAGAAGUGAAUUUAAGCGAUUCUGCCUACCCCUUCACUCUCAGAAUAUCCCUUUUUAUUGCCAUUGUCAAGGACGUUAAACCCAAAUCUUAAUUCCUUGUGGUUUGACAAAGAGAAAGUAACAUUCAGAAUAUAAUGAAAUUGACAUAUCAUUUUGUGUAUUUCCAGUGUGGUUUGGUGUCUAAAACUUCAUUAGUCUAGGAUUAAAGCCUUUCAGUAGUCCUGGGGUGUUUUUUCACCUUUGCUUCUUUCACUUCCUGCAGUGAUUUGGAAGUAUGAAAAAUACCAAGUUGCUCUAUGGUCUGGAAUCCACGUUAAACUGUAGAGACCUCUAUAGCUGACCAAGUCCGUUCAAAGGUCAGAGAAAGGCAAGAGCUUAGCACCUCCAAUAGCACCAUACCCAGUGUGACGUACUAUGAUUUUGAAAUCACAUUUACAUUUUUCAAACUACAAGUUCAGCUCAGAAUUCUUGCUACAAAGCAACUUGUCAUAUGUUGUAAGGUUCCCUUGUGAGUGCUUUUAUUUCCUUUAGUUAAUUUUGAUUUAUCUUUGGCUCACAUCUGUUGCUGAUUUAUCUCAGCAUCAUUACAACAAAGUAAGUUUAAACAGUAGUAUUUUUCAAGUACGUGAUAGGAUUUAAUUUGACUGCCUAGGCUGUGCAUAAUGUCAUCUGUAUUAACUGUAAAUCUUCUGCUGUUUCACAGUUAACAUAUUUUAAAAAUUUUUAUUUCAUGCUCACACUGUCUGCCAUAUUAUUUGUCAUGUAGUAUUAGGUUGCUGUGAUUUUAAAUUGUGUCUUCCAUAUUUUACUUCAUUUUCUGUAAGUUUGAACCAUUUGUACAAAUUAUGCAGUUUUCAAGCUCUUAUGUGUAUACUGUUUUUCAUACCAGCUUUAUGCUUUUUAAAUUAUAAUUUUUAUUUACUGUAGAUUACAUUUCAUUUUCAUAUAUUUAUUGAUAACAUAAUUCAUAUUCUGUUAAUGCUAAUAGUAAUAUUUGUACUAUUGGAAGCAACAGGAUUUGUUUCAUUAUUACACAAUAAAUUGCUAAGCUGUAAUUGUGAAAAUGAACGGCUGCACAAACAUUUCUUAACAUAUGAGCUGAAAUAAUUGAAAUAAUAGCCAGAGGACAGAGAAAAUACUAACUGCUCUUGA
Molecule: RNA transcript, 3708 nt
Organism: Schistocerca americana (American grasshopper)
Lineage: Eukaryota; Metazoa; Arthropoda; Insecta; Orthoptera; Acrididae
Gene name: galactosylgalactosylxylosylprotein 3-beta-glucuronosyltransferase S-like
Exons: 9
Source: RefSeq, a predicted model, not a curated record